GAUGAACGCUGGCGGCGUGCCUAAUACAUGCAAGUCGAGCGAACAGACGAGGAGCUUGCUCCUCUGACGUUAGCGGCGGACGGGUGAGUAACACGUGGAUAACCUACCUAUAAGACUGGGAUAACUUCGGGAAACCGGAGCUAAUACCGGAUAAUAUAUUUAACCGCAUGGUUCAAUAGUGAAAGACGGUUUUGCUGUCACUUAUAGAUGGAUCCGCGCCGCAUUAGCUAGUUGGUAAGGUAACGGCUUACCAAGGCAACGAUGCGUAGCCGACCUGAGAGGGUGAUCGGCCACACUGGAACUGAGACACGGUCCAGACUCCUACGGGAGGCAGCAGUAGGGAAUCUUCCGCAAAGGGCGAAAGCUUGACGGAGCAACGCCGCGUGAGUGAUGAAGGUCUUCGGAUCGUAAAACUCUGUUAUUAGGGAAGAACAAAUGUGUAAGUAACUAUGCACGUCUUGACGGUACCUAAUCAGAAAGCCACGGCUAACUACGUG
This 497-nucleotide ribosomal RNA is filed under the name uncultured bacterium. RNAcentral describes it as "partial 16S ribosomal RNA". It matches the Rfam family "Bacterial small subunit ribosomal RNA", at positions 28 to 507 of the family's 1533-position model. The record is from RNAcentral.